ACACAGAGCCAGAAACUGCCAACCCUGCAGGGCGAAAAAACACACACAGAGGCCUUACACAUUCAGCAGGGUCACAUGACUGAGUCGUGGGAUUUGUUAGUGAAAUAAGAACAAAACAUCCGAACAAAACUUUGAAUGGCUUGUGAUGGCAGAGUGGUGAGAGGAGAAGAGAGAGCCUCCUUCCUGAAACACAGCGUGGGAUUUCUCCAGAUCUGAGAAUCUGAGGAGCAAGCAGAGAAAAUUGCAACAUUUGUUACAUUUUCAGUUGGUGAUGUUUGUCUUCACAUUGCACUGUGUGAAAUAAACGAAAGCUUUUAAAAAACCUGCUCCCCUCCUCACCUGUGGUGGCGCUGCACCAAGAACUACAGAAGGAAAUGACAUAAAUGCAUCUGACGAAGACACUGAGCUCAACUUCCUCCUUCCCAAAAUGU
This is a long non-coding RNA of Xiphophorus couchianus (Monterrey platyfish), 431 nucleotides long. RefSeq lists it as uncharacterized. The record is from RefSeq and is a predicted model, not a curated record. NCBI's taxonomy places the organism in Eukaryota, Metazoa, Chordata, Actinopteri, Cyprinodontiformes, Poeciliidae. The transcript has 2 exons.